ACGAACGCUGGCGGCGUGCUUAACACAUGCAAGUCGAGCGGAAAGGCCACUUCGGUGGUACUCGAGCGGCGAACGGGUGAGUAACACGUGAGUAAUCUGCCCUCCACUUUGGGAUAGCCACCGGAAACGGUGAUUAAUACCGGAUAUGACCAGUGCUCGCAUGGGUGUUGGUGGAAAGUUUUUCGGUGGGGGAUGUGCUCGCGGCCUAUCAGCUUGAUGGUGGGGUAAUGGCCUACCAUGGCUUCGACGGGUAGCCGGCCUGAGAGGGUGACCGGCCACACUGGGACUGAGACACGGCCCAGACUCCUACGGGAGGCAGCAGUGGGGAAUAUUGGACAAUGGGCGGAAGCCUGAUCCAGCAACGCCGCGUGAGGGAUGACGGCCUUCGGGUUGUAAACCUCUUUCGGUGGGGACGAAGCGAAAGUGACGGUACCCACUAAAGAAGCACCGGCCAACUACGU
Molecule: ribosomal RNA, 461 nt
Filed under: uncultured bacterium
Lineage: Bacteria
Description: bacterial SSU rRNA
Rfam family: Bacterial small subunit ribosomal RNA
Source: RNAcentral